GUGCGUUAGGGAUAGUAGUGGAAAUCCUUUUUUGUUUUUUCUUUAAAAACAAAAAAGAUUGAAACGAAUAGCCCGACCCUUG
This 82-nucleotide small RNA is filed under the name Flavobacterium branchiophilum. RNAcentral's name for it is "Flavo-1 RNA". It matches the Rfam family "Flavo-1 RNA", at positions 9 to 76 of the family's 76-position model. Lineage: Bacteria; Pseudomonadati; Bacteroidota; Flavobacteriia; Flavobacteriales; Flavobacteriaceae. The record is from RNAcentral.